CCUGUUUGGAUUGGGGAUAAGGGGUGGAAUAACCCCUUAUUCUCCCUUUAUAUCCAAACGUUAAUUUUUUACCCAAGAAUAGUAAUUCUCGGAUACCUGAAAUAAGCUAGUAUAACUAUCUCCACCAACACCUUCAUUUUCUAUAUAUAACUACCCAUUAUUUUUCUUAUUCCAUAUUAUCUAUCCAAACGCUAUUUUUCUUAUCCCCGGGAACAAUCCAAUUUUCAUGCAAAUGCUAUUUUUCUUAUCCCCAUACUUGUAUCUAUCCCUAUAAUAGCUAGUUCUUGCUUAUAGGACUAAUGCUCCAAGUUUCCUUGUGACAUAAUA
RNAcentral lists this long non-coding RNA (327 nucleotides) under Ananas comosus (pineapple). RNAcentral describes it as "long non-coding RNA (ACOM_LNC032871)". Lineage: Eukaryota; Viridiplantae; Streptophyta; Magnoliopsida; Poales; Bromeliaceae. The record is from RNAcentral.